Molecule: ribosomal RNA, 300 nt
Filed under: uncultured Thalassolituus sp.
Lineage: Bacteria; Pseudomonadati; Pseudomonadota; Gammaproteobacteria; Oceanospirillales; Oceanospirillaceae
Description: bacterial SSU rRNA
Rfam family: Bacterial small subunit ribosomal RNA
Source: RNAcentral
CGCGUAGGAAACUACCCAGUAGUGGGGACAACAGUUGGAAACGACUGCUAAUACCGCAUACGCUCUACGGAGGAAAGGGGGCUUCGGCUCUCGCUAUUGGAUGUGCCUGCGUGAGAUUAGCUAGUUGGUGGGGUAAAGGCCUACCAAGGCAACGAUCUCUAGCUGGUCUGAGAGGAUGAUCAGCCACACUGGGACUGAGACACGGCCCAGACUCCUACGGGAGGCAGCAGUGGGGAAUAUUGGACAAUGGGCGCAAGCCUGAUCCAGCCAUGCCGCGUGUGUGAAGAAGGCCUCGGUUGU